UUCAGUAUGGUCUCUUCUAAACUCACCAGCAAGGCUUUCAACGCUGUGUGAGGGCAGUCAUGCUUCUUAUGCCUCCCACGGUGCCUAAGCUUUACUUUGGGACCUGACAUGUCACUGUGCCCAGUGAACAGAGCCCUCUUAUCCCGCCUGCCACCCACCUAUGCAUUUCUCCUUUCCCACCAGGCAGCCAGACCACGUUCCUGUUGUUUCCUUUUCAGUGAUUGGCAAUAGGCCACCUGAGCCUGGAAAACCUUUCCUGCCGCCUGACUGUCAGCAGGGAGGACCCAGAGAGGCAACUGACCCAGCCGAGAUGCUUGUCUUGUUCAAGCAGGGAGUGCACUCACUGCCAAAAGCAAGAGGGACCGAGUGAGGGCAGAAGAUAUUCAGAUGGCCUGUAAGACCCCAUGAGACCACAUCCCCCA
RNAcentral lists this long non-coding RNA (422 nucleotides) under Capra hircus (goat). Its description in RNAcentral is "lncRNA (ENSCHIG00010001868.1)". Lineage: Eukaryota; Metazoa; Chordata; Mammalia; Artiodactyla; Bovidae. The record is from RNAcentral.